Molecule: ribosomal RNA, 963 nt
Filed under: uncultured beta proteobacterium
Lineage: Bacteria; Pseudomonadati; Pseudomonadota; Betaproteobacteria
Description: bacterial SSU rRNA
Rfam family: Bacterial small subunit ribosomal RNA
Source: RNAcentral
AGAGUUUGAUCCUGGCUCAGAUUGAACGCUGAGGCUUAACACUGCAGUCGAACGGCAGCAUGGAAGAGCUUGCUCUUCUGAUGGCGAGUGGCGAACGGGUGAGUAAAGCAUCGGAACGUACCGUGUAGUGGGGGAUAACGUAGCGAAAGUUACGCUAAUACCGCAUACGCACUGAGGUGGAAAGCAGGGGAUCGCAUGACCUUGCGCUAUACGAGCGGCCGAUGUCAGAUUAGCUAGUUGGUAGGGUAAAGGCCUACCAAGGCGACGAUCUGUAGCGGGUCUGAGAGGAUGAUCCGCCACACUGGGACUGAGACACGGCCCAGACUCCUACGGGAGGCAGCAGUGGGGAAUUUUGGACAAUGGGCGAAAGCCUGAUCCAGCCAUGCCGCGUGAGUGAAGAAGGCCUUCGGGUUGUAAAGCUCUUUCGGCUGGGAAGAAAUCGCACAGGCUAAUACUCUGUGUGGAUGACGGUACCAGCACAAGAAGCACCGGCUAACUACGUGCCAGCAGCCGCGGUAAUACGUAGGGUGCGAGCGUUAAUCGGAAUUACUGGGCGUAAAGCGCGCGCAGGCGGUUGUGCAAGACAGAUGUGAAAUCCCCGGGCUCAACCUGGGAACUGCAUUUGUGACUGCACGACUAGAGUACGGCAGAGGGGGGUAGAAUUCCACGUGUAGCAGUGAAAUGCGUAGAGAUGUGGAGGAAUACCGAUGGCGAAGGCAGCCCCCUGGGCCGAUACUGACGCUCAUGCACGAAAGCGUGGGGAGCAAACAGGAUUAGAUACCCUGGUAGUCCACGCCCUAAACGAUGUCAACUAGUUGUUGGUAGGGUUAAACCUAUUAGUAACGUAGCUAACGCGUGAAGUUGACCGCCUGGGGAGUACGGUCGCAAGAUUAAAACUCAAAGGAAUUGACGGGGACCCGCACAAGCGGUGGAUGAUGUGGAUUAAUUCGAUGCACGCGAAAA